Molecule: unclassified non-coding RNA, 238 nt
Filed under: Hevea brasiliensis (rubber tree)
Lineage: Eukaryota; Viridiplantae; Streptophyta; Magnoliopsida; Malpighiales; Euphorbiaceae
Source: RNAcentral
GAAGCAUAAGGGCAGCUUUGAGACCAUCCAUGUCCAAGAUGCUACUGGCCAUGAGUUUGCUACUCGUCUUGGUAAUGUCUUUACCAUUGGCAAGGGAACUAAGCCUUGGGUGUCCCUUCCCAAGGGCAAGGGUAUUAAGCUCAGCAUCAUUGAGGAGGCUAGGAAGCGUCUUGCUGCUGCUGGUGCAGCUGCCACUGUCUGAUCUCACUGCCUUAUUUUGGUACUUUUGUCUGGAUGG